GAGUACAGUAGAGGUGGGCGGAAUUCGUGGUGUAGCGGUGAAAUGCUUAGAUAUCACGAAGAACUCCGAUUGCGAAGGCAGCUCACUGGACUGCAACUGACACUGAUGCUCGAAAGUGUGGGUAUCAAACAGGAUUAGAUACCCUGGUAGUCCACACAGUAAACGAUGAAUACUCGCUGUUUGCGAUAUACAGUAAGCGGCCAAGCGAAAGCAUUAAGUAUUCCACCUGGGGAGUACGGCCGCAAGGUUGAAACUCAAAGGAAUUGACGGGGGCCCGCACAAGCGGAGGAACAUGUGGUUUAAUUCGAUGAUACGCGAGGAACCUUACCCGGGCUUGAAUUGCACAGGAAUGGCUUGGAGACAGGCCAGUCUUCGGACCUGUGUGAAGGUGCUGCAUGGUUGUCGUCAGCUCGUGCCGUGAGGUGUCGGCUUAAGUGCCAUAACGAGCGCAACCCUUAUUUCCAGUUACCAUCAGGUAAUGCUGGGGACUCUGGAGAGACUGCCGUCGUAAGAUGUGAGGAAGGUGGGGAUGACGUCAAAUCAGCACGGCCCUUACGUCCGGGGCUACACACGUGUUACAAUGGGGGGUACAGCAGGCUGCUACCCGGCGACGGGAUGCUAAUCCGUAAAACCCCUCUCAGUUCGGACUGGAGUCUGCAACCCGACUCCACGAAGCUGGAUUCGCUAGUAAUCGCGCAUCAGCCACGGCGCGGUGAAUACGUUCCCGGGCCUUGUACACACCGCCCGUCAAGCCAUGAAAGCCGGGGGUACCUGAAGUGCGUAACCGCAAGGAGCGUCCUAGGGUAAAACUGGUGAUUGGGGCUAAGUCGUAACAAGGUAACCA
Molecule: ribosomal RNA, 844 nt
Filed under: uncultured bacterium
Lineage: Bacteria
Description: bacterial SSU rRNA
Rfam family: Bacterial small subunit ribosomal RNA
Source: RNAcentral